Molecule: ribosomal RNA, 254 nt
Filed under: uncultured bacterium
Lineage: Bacteria
Description: partial 16S ribosomal RNA
Rfam family: Bacterial small subunit ribosomal RNA
Source: RNAcentral
UACGUAGGGUGCGAGCGUUGUCCGGAAUUAUUGGGCGUAAAGAGCUCGUAGGCGGUGUGUCACGUCGUUCGUGAAAACCUGCAGCUUAACUGUGGGCGUGCGGUCGAUACGGGCAUCACUGGAGUUCGGCAGGGGAGACUGGAAUUCCUGGUGUAGCGGUGAAAUGCGCAGAUAUCAGGAGGAACACCGGUGGUGAAGACGGUCCCCUGGGCCGAGGCCGACGCUGAGGCGCGAGAGCGCGGGGAGCGAACCGG